Molecule: long non-coding RNA, 1597 nt
Organism: Fukomys damarensis (Damara mole-rat)
Lineage: Eukaryota; Metazoa; Chordata; Mammalia; Rodentia; Bathyergidae
Source: Ensembl
CUCUAUAUAAUAUGAGACGAACAUUGAUGAGUAUCAAUGAACAUGCAAAACUGAUUUCAUAAUAUUAUUAGAGUAAACAAAUAGGAAAAAGUAAGCAAUCGGAAGUGUUCAAUCAUGGGAACUUUUAUACGUAUUAGCCAACCCCAGCAGAUGAACACAGAACCUCCUUUGACGCUUUGUUCUUGAGAGUAAGGGCAUCAACAUCAGUUUACAGAAGUGCACUGGUGGAGGCACCGACCUGAGGACAUCCUAGAACACAGCCUUGGUGUUGACCUGAAGCACUUUGGAAUCAGAAAGCUUGGGUCUGAAUCUUAUUUCAGCCUUGAAUUUAACAUCUCUGCUACUACCUCCACCCAUCUAGAAUCCAGUCUCCUCCCUGCACAGAAGUACAAAUGGCCGAUAAGUACAUAAAGAAAUGUUCCAGAGCCGGACGUGGUGGUGCACACCUGUAAUCGCAGCACUCGGGAGGCUGAGGCAGGAGGAUCGCUGUGAGUUCGAGACCAGCCUGGCUACCUAGUGAGUUCCAGGUCAGUCUUAAGCACAUAGAGAGACCCUGUCUCAAACAAACAAACAAACAAACAAAAAAUGUUCCAGAACACUGGCCAUUUGAGAAAUACAAAUUCAAACAACAUUUAGAUUCUAGCUUAGUCCAGAAAGCACAGCUGUCAUCAAAAAAUCCAAUAAUAACAAAUGCUGGCAAGGCCGUGGGAGAAAAGGAGUCCUUUUCCAUUGUUGCUGGGAGUGUAAAGCGGUUACACUACUGUGGAAAUCAUUUGGACAAUCACCAAGAUACGAGACAUAGAAAUGCCAUUUGACUCAGAUUUUCCCUUUCUAGGUAUCUUCCCUAAAAGUAAAAGAAAAAUUAUGUAUUGGAAACAUGAACUAGUGCAAAAAGAAGAUAGAAAGAUCAGAAGAAUGAAAUUUCAAGGAAUCACAUCCAAACAAAAUAGGCUGAGCCUGGAACUGUGAAACCACUGGUUAUCUAAACGUGCUACAAAAUAAGAAGAACUCGUAUGCCUUCAGAUCAGUGAGAGCUUGGGAACAUAACAGUGACAGAGGAAGUAGAAGACUUUUCACUCAAAGAAUUUAUUCUGAAGAGAGUCCUGGUCACCAAAGGGACACAUACUUUCAGAAGAUUCCCUCUAGCCUGGGUCACAUGAGCAACAGAGAAAAUCAGAAUAUCCUUUUGCAGUCGCUGCCCAAAACCUCUUCCAGUUUUCUUACCGCGACUUCAGGUCCGUGGCAAUGGACUGGAGAGGACCCUCCCCCAAGAGCAAAGUCGGUUGUUCACUUUACAGUGAUACAUGACAGAAGCGUCCCAGAUUUGGUCUAGAAAGCCCAUGUGGAGUUUCUGCUGGCUGUUGCCACAGUCCCUCUCCUUCCUUAUGCAGAUGGAGUCCUGUCUACAAAAGCCAGUCUGCGCAGUGCUCCUGGACUCAGCUCGCCGUGCUCCAGCAUCCUGAGAGGCUCCAGCUGCUGCUCCUUGGCUACAGCGCAGCUCGUGCCGAAGAACAAAAUUUUAUUUUAAAACUCCAACAUAAGGCAAAUAAUAUAACGAUUUAAAACAAUAAUACUGGAGUGAAGAGAAGAGAGAGUA